AGAGUUUGAUCCUGGCUCAGAUUGAACGCUGGCGGCAUGCCUUACACAUGCAAGUCGAACGGCAGCACGGGAGCAAUCCUGGUGGCGAGUGGCGAACGGGGGAGUAAUAUAUCGGAACGUGCCCAGUCGUGGGGGAUAACGCAGCGAAAGCUGUGCUAAUACCGCAUACGAUCUCUGGAUGAAAGCGGGGGACUCGCAAGAGCCUCGCGCGAUUGGAGCGGCCGAUAUCAGAUUAGCUAGUUGGUGGGGUAAAGGCUCACCAAGGCGACGAUCUGUAGCUGGUCUGAGAGGACGACCAGCCACACUGGAACUGAGACACGGUCCAGACUCCUACGGGAGGCAGCAGUGAGGAAUCUUCCACAAUGGGCGAAAGCCUGAUGGAGCGACACCGCGUGAAGGAUGAAGGAUUUGUUUCUGUAAACUUCUUUUCUGUGGGAAGAUAAUGACGGUACCACAGGAAUAAGGGACGGCUAACUACGUGCCAGCAGCCGCGGUAAUACGUAGGUCCCAAGCGUUAUCCGGAAUUACUGGGCGUAAAGCGUCUGUAGGUGGAUAAGUAAGUUUUGUAUGAAAGACCGAAGCUCAACUUCGUGUUUGUAUAAAAUACUGCUUGUCUAGAGUCAGGGAGAGGUAAGUAGAAUUGUAUGAGUAGGGGUGCAAUCCGUAGAUACAUACAAGAAUACCAAAAGCGAAGGCAACUUACUGGAACUGUACUGACACUGAGAGACGAAAGCGUGGGGAGCGAAAAGGAUUAGAUACCCUUGUAGUCCACGCCCUAAACGAUGAUAGUUAAGUGUUCCCGUGUCGGGAGUGCUGUAGCAAACGCGUUAAACUAUCCGCCUGAGGAGUACGGCCGCAAGGUUAAAACUCAAAUGAAUAGACGGGGACCCACACAAGCAGUGGAUCAUGUGGUUUAAUUCGACAAUAAACGGGGAAUCUUACCCAGGCUUGACAUGUAGAGAACCCCACAGAAAUGAGGGGGUGCCCGCAAGGGAACUCUAACACAGGUGCUGCAUGGUUGUCGUCAGCUCGUGCCUUGAGGUGUUCGGUUAAGUCCGUUAACGAGCGCAACCCAUAUCGUUAGUUACUAUGUCUAACGAGACUGCCCGAGUUAAUCGGGAGGAAGGUGUGGAUGACGUCAAAUCAGCAUGGCCCUUAUGCCUGGGGCCACACACAUGAUACAAUGGUCGGUACAAAGAGCAGCAAUAUGGUAACAUGGAGCCAAUCUCAUAAAGCCGAUCUCAGUCCGGAUUGAGGUCUGAAACUCGACCUCAUGAAGUUGGAAUUGCUAGUAAUCGUGAAUCAGAUAUGUCACGGUGAAUAUGUUCCUGGGUCUUGUACUCACCGCCCGUCAUAGCAUGGGAGGUGUCUCUA
Molecule: ribosomal RNA, 1374 nt
Filed under: uncultured bacterium
Lineage: Bacteria
Description: partial 16S ribosomal RNA
Rfam family: Bacterial small subunit ribosomal RNA
Source: RNAcentral